GGGUAACCUGCCCAAGAGAUCGGGAUAACACCUGGAAACAGAUGCUAAUACCGGAUAACAACAGAUGAUGCCUAUCAACUGUUUAAAAGAUGGUUCUGCUAUCACUCUUGGAUGGACCCGCGGUGCAUUAGCUAGUUGGUAGGGUAACGGCCUACCAAGGCGAUGAUGCAUAGCCGAGUUGAGAGACUGAUCGGCCACAUUGGGACUGAGACACGGCCCAAACUCCUACGGGAGGCAGCAGCG
This 243-nucleotide ribosomal RNA is filed under the name uncultured Lactobacillus sp. RNAcentral describes it as "partial 16S ribosomal RNA". It matches the Rfam family "Bacterial small subunit ribosomal RNA", at positions 119 to 356 of the family's 1533-position model. The record is from RNAcentral. Lineage: Bacteria; Bacillati; Bacillota; Bacilli; Lactobacillales; Lactobacillaceae.